This 527-nucleotide ribosomal RNA is filed under the name uncultured bacterium. Its description in RNAcentral is "partial 16S ribosomal RNA". It matches the Rfam family "Bacterial small subunit ribosomal RNA", at positions 355 to 899 of the family's 1533-position model. The record is from RNAcentral.
UGGGGAAUAUUGCACAAUGGGCGAAAGCCUGAUGCAGCAACGCCGCGUGAGUGAUGAAGGUCUUCGGAUUGUAAAGCUCUGUCUUUUGGGACGAUAAUGACGGUACCAAAGGAGGAAGCCACGGCUAACUACGUGCCAGCAGCCGCGGUAAUACNUAGGUGGCGAGCGUUGUCCGGAUUUACUGGGCGUAAAGGGUGCGUAGGCGGAUGUUUAAGUGAGAUGUGAAAUACCCGGGCUUAACUUGGGUGCUGCAUUUCAAACUGGAUAUCUAGAGUGCAGGAGAGGAGAAUGGAAUUCCUAGUGUAGCGGUGAAAUGCGUAGAGAUUAGGAAGAACACCAGUGGCGAAGGCGAUUCUCUGGACUGUAACUGACGCUGAGGCACGAAAGCGUGGGUAGCAAACAGGAUUAGAUACCCUGGUAUCCACGCCGUAAACGAUGAGUACUAGGUGUAGGAGGUAUCGACCCCUUCUGUGCCGCAGUAAACACAUUAAGUACUCCGCCUGGGAAGUACGAUCGCAAGAUUAAAC